AAUGGAGUAGGAAUUGACGCGUUAAGUGCCAGAGAGACGGAGAGUUGCUCGACGGACGAAUGCUAGUCAGCGAUGUCAGUUCCGCAUCUCGCCGUU
RNAcentral lists this non-coding RNA (96 nucleotides) under Pediococcus stilesii. RNAcentral's name for it is "THF-I sequence". It matches the Rfam family "THF (Tetrahydrofolate) riboswitch aptamer". Rfam says of the family: THF riboswitch presents a pseudoknot that joins P1-P2 and the loop of P3 and two THF binding. The record is from Rfam by way of RNAcentral. Lineage: Bacteria; Bacillati; Bacillota; Bacilli; Lactobacillales; Lactobacillaceae.